This 1151-nucleotide ribosomal RNA is filed under the name Citrobacter amalonaticus. Its description in RNAcentral is "partial 23S ribosomal RNA". It matches the Rfam family "Bacterial large subunit ribosomal RNA", at positions 1 to 1193 of the family's 2925-position model. Lineage: Bacteria; Pseudomonadati; Pseudomonadota; Gammaproteobacteria; Enterobacterales; Enterobacteriaceae. The record is from RNAcentral.
GGUUAAGCGACUAAGCGUACACGGUGGAUGCCCUGGCAGUCAGAGGCGAUGAAGGACGUGCUAAUCUGCGAAAAGCGUCGGUAAGGUGAUAUGAACCGUUAUAACCGGCGAUGUCCGAAUGGGGAAACCCAGUGCAAUUCGUUGCACUAUCGUUAACUGAAUCCAUAGGUUAACGAGGCGAACCGGGGGAACUGAAACAUCUAAGUACCCCGAGGAAAAGAAAUCAACCGAGAUUCCCCCAGUAGCGGCGAGCGAACGGGGAGCAGCCCAGAGCCUGAAUCAGCAUGUGUGGUAGUGGAACGGUCUGGAAAGGCCGGCGAUACAGGGUGACAGCCCCGUACACAAAAUUGCAUGUGUUGUGAGCUCGAUGAGUAGGGCGGGACACGUGGUAUCCUGUCUGAAUAUGGGGGGACCAUCCUCCAAGGCUAAAUACUCCUGACUGACCGAUAGUGAACCAGUACCGUGAGGGAAAGGCGAAAAGAACCCCGGCGAGGGGAGUGAAAAAGAACCUGAAACCGUGUACGUACAAGCAGUGGGAGCCUCUUUAAUGGGGUGACUGCGUACCUUUUGUAUAAUGGGUCAGCGACUUAUAUUCUGUAGCAAGGUUAACCGAAUAGGGGAGCCGAAGGGAAACCGAGUCUUAACUGGGCGUUAAGUUGCAGGGUAUAGACCCGAAACCCGGUGAUCUAGCCAUGGGCAGGUUGAAGGUUGGGUAACACUAACUGGAGGACCGAACCGACUAAUGUUGAAAAAUUAGCGGAUGACUUGUGGCUGGGGGUGAAAGGCCAAUCAAACCGGGAGAUAGCUGGUUCUCCCCGAAAGCUAUUUAGGUAGCGCCUCGUGAAUUCAUCUCCGGGGGUAGAGCACUGUUUCGGCUAGGGGGCCAUCCCGGCUUACCAACCCGAUGCAAACUGCGAAUACCGGAGAAUGUUAUCACGGGAGACACACGGCGGGUGCUAACGUCCGUCGUGAAGAGGGAAACAACCCAGACCGCCAGCUAAGGUCCCAAAGUCAUGGUUAAGUGGGAAACGAUGUGGGAAGGCUCAGACAGCCAGGAUGUUGGCUUAGAAGCAGCCAUCAUUUAAAGAAAGCGUAAUAGCUCACUGGUCGAGUCGGCCUGCGCGGAAGAUGUAACGGGGCUAAACCAUGCA